Molecule: RNA transcript, 1591 nt
Organism: Hemicordylus capensis (graceful crag lizard)
Lineage: Eukaryota; Metazoa; Chordata; Lepidosauria; Squamata; Cordylidae
Gene name: maestro heat-like repeat-containing protein family member 1
Exons: 8
Source: RefSeq, a predicted model, not a curated record
CUCUCGCCUUGACUGUGCUGAGCUCCUCUUUGUUGACAUGCUGGAGGGCGGGGCCUGGGGGGAGUGCCGCAAUUACACACUGGCUCUCUCUUUUCUUUCAGGCUCUGCACAAACUCGCAGCAGACAAUCUGGAGCUGAUGCUGAGGGGUUUUUUGUCAGAGGCCCCAACCACACAGCAUCUCUUGUCCCUCCUGGAGCACAUCAACAUCUGGAUCCUCUCCAGGAAUGCCCAGGAGAGAGCACGAGCCAGCAAACAAUGCGCCAGCUUGCUCCGCUUUAGUGUCAUGAUGCCUGAUUGUGAUAACUCUGCAGAACUCCCCAGUUUGGGCCACCAUGUGGCGAAACUUGGAAUCUGCAUAAUGGAUUGCAGGAGGGAUGUCAGCCGAUACGCCAGGGAGGGAAUCUACCGGCUCCUAGAGGUGCUUCUCAACCACAAAGGCCAGAGCAGCAGAGACGCUGGGGAGCUGUGGAGCCGGAGAUGGCAGGAGGAGGAAAGAAUUCUGGCCUAUCUGAACACCGCCAGAGUUGGGGAGGUUUUUAGGGAGAUCUUUAAUAAAGAUCAGGAAAGAUCCUUCCUGAGGACCACGAUUUGGGCCAUUAAUCAUCCCCUCCACAGGGUUAAGGAGGCUGGACUGAUCCUGCUGUACUCCCUCCUGGGCAAGGCCGAUGCACUGAUGGGGUAUGAGGAGGAGGAAAUCCGGAGGAAAAUCUGGCGUCGUCUCCGCCAAAUCAAAGAAAGCAAAGGGCUGCCUGAAGAAAUCGAAGGUAUCUUAAAAAACCAAGUGCAGUUGAUACAGAGAAAGGUGAAAUGGCAGCUCCAUCUGGGGAGAAGUAUAUGGAUAUUUCAGUUGCCAUACAAACUUUAAAGAUUACAGACAAAGACGACUUUCUCGACCCAAAGAAGCUUCUACCACUGUGUGAAAUUUCCAAAUGAACUUCAGAAAUUGAGGAACUUCAAACAUGCAAAGAGGUCUACGGAUGAAGUGCAAGGAUAUGGCAGAAUCUCACCAACCCCCCUCCCCCCCAUCAUUUCACAAGCUUACCAAACAUUGUACCUUUAAAAGGAAGCAGGAUAAUGCUUUUUGUCCCAGAGGAGGAGUCACAGAAGUCUGAGAGGAAGGGGGGAAACUGGGGAUUGAGACAGAACUAUUAAAGGAGCUGAGCAGUCUCCAAAUUUGACCUCCAUCCCUGUAGCCCACAUCCUGCUUCCUUACCUACAUCUAGAGGAUGAGGUGACCGGACAGAUGGAAGGCCUGCAUCUGCCUCCACCUAAGAACCCAUCCUGCUUCAGCUACAGGCGUCUUCAUCAUGAGCCCUAUCACCCAAUGAAAUCAUCUGAAGAGGUUCAUCUGCGGUUGCCACUAGCCCAAGUGGUGGCUACACAGGGACGGGCCUUCUCUGUGGUCGCCUCGAGACUCUGGAAUGUGCUCUCUGCUGAAAUAAGAGCCUCCCCAUCUCUGACAACGUUCAAGAAACCUUUCAAGAAACAUUUUUUCACCAAAGCCUUUUAACUUGACUUGUGGUUUUAAAUCGUUUUUAAAAUGUCUGUUUUAUUUUGCUUUAUGUUUUUGUAAACAAAAUAAAUUUUCAC